UCUACGGGACGCAGCAGUAGGGAAUAUUCCGCAAUGGGCGAAAGCCUGACGGAGCAACGCCGCGUGAGUGAAGAAGGUCUUCGGAUCGUAAAGCUCUGUCAACAGGGACGAAACAAGACGGUACCUGAGAAGGAAGCCACGGCAAACUACGUGCCAGCAGCCGCGGUAAUACGUAGGUGGCAAGCGUUGUCCGGAAUAACUGGGCGUAAAGCGCAUGUAGACGGCAUGAUAAGCCAAAUGUGAAAUGUAGGGGCUCAACCCCUACACUGCGAUUGGAACUGUCAAGCUUGAGUGCAGGAGAGGCAAAUGGAAUUCCCAGUGUAGCAGUGAAAUGCGUAGAGAUUGGGAGGAACACCAGUGGCGAAGGCGAUUUGCUGGACUGCAACUGACGUUGAGAUGCGAAAGCCAGGGGAGCAAACGGGAUUAGAUACCCCGGUAGUCCUGGCCGUAAACGAUGGAUACUAGGUGUAGAGGGUAUCGACCCCUUCUGUGCCGCAGUGAACGCAAUAAGUAUCCCGCCUGGGGAGUACGGUCGCAAGACUGAAACUCAAAGGAAUUGACGG
This 563-nucleotide ribosomal RNA is filed under the name uncultured bacterium. Its description in RNAcentral is "bacterial SSU rRNA". It matches the Rfam family "Bacterial small subunit ribosomal RNA", at positions 338 to 916 of the family's 1533-position model. The record is from RNAcentral.